Long non-coding RNA from Numida meleagris (helmeted guineafowl), 4549 nucleotides. RefSeq lists it as uncharacterized. NCBI's taxonomy places the organism in Eukaryota, Metazoa, Chordata, Aves, Galliformes, Numididae. The transcript is spliced from 8 exons. The record is from RefSeq and is a predicted model, not a curated record.
GAAUCUCCUGUUCCGAAGCAGAGGGAAAGAGAAUGUUUUUUAGAAAGGCAGAAUAGAGAGAGAAGUCCUCAGAUAAAUCAGGCUCGUUGCUGGGAAGAGGCUGUGAAUCGUCCUCAGCCUGGAACUCAGCUUGGUGGGGAUUAGGAGCAAAAUGCCUUGGACCAGCUGCCUGCAGAAGUCAGAGGAACCUGGGAUGUCCCUGGCAAAAGUGGUGGUGGCUUGAAGCUACGAAGGAACAUGGCAGAGUCCUUAUGGAGCACAGCACUGUGGGACAGUUUUGCAGCCUACAGUUCUCCACAGGAUGCGAGUCCUCCAGGAAAGCAGGUAGGACCAAGAGUGAUUGGCUCAGUUACCCUCUAGAGAGAUUUGGCUUUAAACUGGGAAACACCUCAUAAGGACAAGCAGAGAAGCAAGCACCUAUGGCAGCUGGGCAAUGGCUUUAGAGAAGAAGCUAAGACAGAAAGUUGAGUGUAAUUCUGCCAAGGUUCAGUUUUCUUCUGACUUAAUGAAUGGAACCAGCUCACCGAGGGCUAUCUGCAGACUCCAAGGCUGGUGCAAGAACAUGCAGAAGUGGAGGAUGAAAGCAUGGAGAAAUAGGAGGGUCUCCUUUUCUGGUUCUCCUUGGCAUGUUAGCUUUAUCAGAGCAAAGUUCAAAGGUGCUUGAAAGGCUCAGAUGAUGUGGCUUCUCUUGUCUACUUUGCUGAGAGUCUGCCAGAUGGGAUUUUUUGAUGGUCCAGAAGUUCUCUUUGAGGGAUUGGCUAUCAAGCCACACUGCUCGGUGCAAGCAACGUGAUGGGCACCCAUCUUUUCCAAUAGAGGAGGAUUUACAGUGGGAGAACUGAAAGGGAGGAAACAAACUCUUGGAGAAUGUGACUACCUUGUGCCUCUGUCCUGGUGGGGGUGCAUGGGGGAUAGGACCGCACGUGGUGAAUACCUCUGUGCAGGGAAGAUAAAUUAGCCCAUCCCACCACCUCCAUCCCUGGCGGAAUUCUUUAGUGAGCCAGCUGGCUGAGCUGCUUGGGGACAAGAUUUAAGCAGCAUUUCUCAGCUCUGUGAGAUUCAUAGGUGACUGCAGGCUUCACUCGCACACAGUGGAACCCACAUGUUAAAGAAACCCAUGGGUUCCAACACCCAGCACCAGAUAAACAGUACCGUCUGUGAGGGAGUAGGUGGUCCACGGUGAAUCUGAUGUAGGCUACAACUAUAAUUAAUGUCCUGUGAAGCUGUAUCUCUCCAGUGCAUAUUUAAAGUCACGCUGGAGUCAGAGAAGGAGGUGUGAGGUGGUGUUGUCUACCAGGCACCCUCUCAUGUCCUCCUGGCCCAUGCUGCCCUUUUGAGAAAUGCCCUAAGUGGAUCACUCCAAAGCUAUUUGGAACAUAAGAUUAACAGAGGGGUUAUACUUCACCCUUUGGGGUCAAUCUCUGUUCAUUCGGGGACAGCAACCUUAAAGUUUUCAAAAGAGGCUUUGUAUUCAAUCAUGGAUGCUAAAGGCUUACACAAAGAUCUGAACACUGUCUCCUCUUCUAGAUGGUCCAAAUCCAUUUUCAAAUGGUAAAAGAAGGUCUACGAUCCUUAUUUAUUUAACAUAUGUGCAUGUUUUGCUAUUCACAUCUAUGCAAAUGUUAUUUUUAUGUACAGAGGUUACUUACUGUGGACACUGGGAAAGCCAGGACACUGAAAAGAAGGUCUCUGCUGGAAAUUACACACUUAGCACAUCGCAGUUCCUUAAUUAGCCUCAACACAUCAGCCAGGAAGGACACCCCAUAGAAGACAGCCUGCAAAAACUAAAACUAAACAGAGAUGUGUCAUGUGAUUCGGAUCGAGGAAUGGAAGGACAUGUUGAAAGCAGCUCCAUCGCGCCUUAUAUGUUAAUCGUUAUGUUCAGUGUAUCUGAGGAGGAACAGAAGUAAACAAAAUUUGGAAUAUGCCAGGAGAUGUUUCCGUGCUACACAGCAGCUCAUGCUGAACCAGAUGUGUCAGACACACAAAGCCUAACAGAAAAAAAUCUCCUGCUAUCUCACGUUCAGACAGCUGAGUCUAGUUUGGUUCCGUUAAUUCAUGGAGUGGCCUCAUCUUUAAGGCUAGAGUGGACCAAAGUGAUGCAACAUGGGAAAAUCAGCCUACUGCGAAUUCUGGAGCAGCUACUGAUGCUCAAAUGCCGUGUUACAGCUUUCAGGAUGAGAUCUAUUUUGCCAUGAGCUUAUUCUGAAUCAGUGUUUAUUUCAAGAAUAGUAUCUGAAGUUGUUGCUGAUUACUUCAUUGGUUUGUGAAGGAGCUGAGAAGGGUGGUGCUUGGGAGGGGACAGAAUUAGUGCAACACUUCUCCUUCCAAAAUCUCUGUUAUGAAAAGGAUUGAGGGAAGGAAGGUCUGAUUUCACCAUACCCAUCUUCACACUAGGACAUCUGCAAGCUUUGAUAGAAUGUUUUAGAGACCAAGCUGCCUUACAUGUGGCCACUCAGGAUGAGGCCACAUAUCACCUGGUUCAGCUGCAAAACCUCACGUUUCCCCUCUAGAGCAUGAGGCAAACACAGCUGCAUUUUUUAUAUAAAAAUACACACAUGGUUUUGUUCAACUCCAAGGUGUCCAAACCAGCUCUUUAAAUGUGGCUUUCUCUUUCCACACUCUCUCUAUUACUACAGUUAGCCUCUGUGGUUCCCAGCACAACUUCAUAGAAUCAUAGAAUGGCUUGGGUAGCAAGGGACCUUAGAGAUCACCCAGUUCCAAUCCCCUGCCAUAGACAGGAUUGCCACUCAGUGUCAGCCAGGGCCCCAUCCAUCCUGGUCUUAAAUGCCUCCAGGGAUGGGGCAUCCACAGGUUCUCUGGCCAUGAAUCUGAAUCCACUUGGGGAUUCAGCCCUCCAAGUCACGGUUCUGGUUCACAGACGUACGUGCCAGGGUGUAGUGUGCUUAAAGCCCCACACACGCUCAACCCAAACACAUGUCCAAGUGGUUGGCCUCACCAAGACACCAAAACCAAGUCCUUGAAGAGCUAAGAAAAGCCUGGUAAUAAACAGAAGCUCUUGUUAUCCUUUGUAGAGCCUGCAGUAACUUCCUGUAAAAAGCCUGAAAAAUGAGCAUGGGGGUGGUGACAGUCUGGUGACACAUAGUGACUAAUGACCAAUAAAGCAGUUAGGGAAAGGCAUGGUUCCCAGAGGAUGGGGCUAUUAUUAUCUUGUUCAUGUUCAGCCUUAUAUUAGUCAUGGGACAGAGAUAGGCUUCUCCCUCCCCAUGACCCUUCAAAGUUGAUUAAAACAAACAUAUCUUGAAAGAACCAGAGAGUUCCAAAACAGCCACGUCAAUCUGUUAAAUAUUCUGUCUUACUUAGGGGAGAAGAAUGUUAUCUUCUGAAUGGAAAGUACUUAUCCAAGUAUGUAAUCUGAUCCAUUUCUCUAGCUGAGCACUAAGAGCAUCUCCUGAAGAAGUUUGAAUUCCGUCUCAGCAGCUCAUUUUACGCACUGCUCACAGCUCAACCCAUGUCCAUCGGUGUGGAUUCAAAGGGUUUUCAGUCACUUUGUGAUCACCCUGUAUUUUCAGGAGCAAUGGAAGGACAUACAAAUAAUUUGCAGACCAGAAAAUUGAACCUAGCAAGAACCAUUCCUCUGGCAUGGUGAGCCAACAGUGGCUUGAAUCAGAGCUCCCAGCUUGCAAUCUUCCAAAGUUGGUCUUAUUAUUGUAAGAAGGUGUAUCCGAAUCUUGCAGCCCUUCACUAAUGGGCUAGAUGAACUUUAAAGGCCCUUCCAGCUCAAAUAAUUCUACAAAUGUUGAAAAAAUGUUGAGAAACAUUGGGAAAAUGUUGAGAUUAAAAAAAAAAAAAUUGACAUGAAAACAUGAAAUUAUUCCAGAUGUCCUGUGAAUUUCCCAAAGACUGAAAGCAUUCAGAAAGCUAACAACUUACCCAAGGGGGAGAGUAUGGAUAUGACUAUCCCCGUUGGAGAGAUGUUACUUUCCUCUGCAGACCCUGCACAACUCCAUGGUGCUAGGUGCUGUAGAAACCCUUCAUUUGCCACAUCGAUUUUCCAAACUAAGGGUCAUUGUGACAAAGGAAAACCAUAAUUUUUAUCUGCUUCCCUGAUCAAAGGGGUGUUUCUGUUUAACUGACCCGGCAUGAUUCACUUUCACAUGUCAGAUCAGCCAUACGUAUGUAUUGGAUUCUCAAACUUGUAGAAAUAAACUGGGCUCCAAACUCUGCCCUGAAGGGGGAAUAAAUCUAAUAAUUUGAAGUGACCUAUUAGAUACAACAGUCAACAUUUAGUGUAGACAUACGUGCCUUCACAGGAUAACAAUCUGAAAAAUAGGUGAACUAAAUGGGAGGUCUAUUUGGUAAUAUGUUAAAAAAUCAACUUUCAGAAGAAUUGAAAAUAUUUCAGUUACAUGAGGCAAAAGCACAAGGAGUAAAAUGGGGCAGGAAUGCAAUUAAUAGUUUUCAAAGGUGCAGUGUGCUCAUUGUUCAGUGCUUUCCUGAUAGAUUUAUGGCAGAGAGCAGAUUUUCAUGAGCUCAGCUAUUUCAGGCGGUGAAUGAUUCUGUUUGUAUUCUUUUGUAUCACAGACAA